UGAGGAAUAUUGCUCAAUGGCCGCAAGGCUGAAGCAGCAACGCCGCGUGAGGGAUGAAGGAUCUAUGGUCUGUAAACCUCUGUAGAGAAGGAAAAAUAACCCAUUAUAUGGGCUUGAUAGUACUUCUAGAGUAAGCCCCGGCUAACUACGUGCCAGCAGCCGCGGUAAUACGUAGGGGCGAGCGUUGUCCGGAAUCACUGGGUGUAAAGGGUGCUCAGGCGGGUCGAUAAGUCAGAGGUGAAAUUUCACAGCUUAACUGUGAAUGUGCUUUUGAGACUGUCGGGCUAGAGUUCAGAAGAGGGCAAUGGAAUUCUUGGUGUAGCGGUGAAAUGCGUAGAUAUCAAGAAGAACACCAGUUGCGAAGGCGGUUGCCUGGUCUGUAACUGACGCUCAAGCACGAAAGCGUGGGGAUCAAACA
RNAcentral lists this ribosomal RNA (418 nucleotides) under uncultured prokaryote. Its description in RNAcentral is "bacterial SSU rRNA". It matches the Rfam family "Bacterial small subunit ribosomal RNA", at positions 355 to 774 of the family's 1533-position model. The record is from RNAcentral.